UACAGAGGGUGCGAGCGUUGUCCGGAAUCACUGGGCGUAAAGGGCGCGUAGGUGGCGGCCCAAGUCCAUGGUGAAAGCUCGAUGCUCAACAUCGAGUCGGCCACGGAUACUGGGUUGCUCGAGCACUGUAGGGGCAGAUGGAAUUCCGGGUGUAGCGGUGGAAUGCGUAGAGAUCCGGAAGAACACCGGUGGCGAAGGCGGUCUGCUGGGCAGUUGCUGACACUGAGGCGCGACAGCCAGGGGAGCGAACGGG
Molecule: ribosomal RNA, 253 nt
Filed under: uncultured bacterium
Lineage: Bacteria
Description: partial 16S ribosomal RNA
Rfam family: Bacterial small subunit ribosomal RNA
Source: RNAcentral